This 468-nucleotide ribosomal RNA is filed under the name uncultured bacterium. Its description in RNAcentral is "partial 16S ribosomal RNA". It matches the Rfam family "Bacterial small subunit ribosomal RNA", at positions 28 to 507 of the family's 1533-position model. The record is from RNAcentral.
GACGAACGCUGGCGGCGUGCUUAACACAUGCAAGUCGAACGGAAAGGCCCUGCUUUUGUGGGGUGCUCGAGUGGCGAACGGGUGAGUAACACGUGAGUAACCUGCCCUUGACUUUGGGAUAACUUCAGGAAACUGGGGCUAAUACCGGAUAGGAGCUCCUGCUGCAUGGUGGGGGUUGGAAAGUUUCGGCGGUUGGGGAUGGGCUCGCGGCUUAUCAGCUUGUUGGUGGGGUAGUGGCUUACCAAGGCUUUGACGGGUAGCCGGCCUGGGAGGGUGACCGGCCACAUUGGGACUGAGAUACGGCCCAGACUCCUACGGGAGGCAGCAGUGGGGAAUAUUGCACAAUGGGCGGAAGCCUGAUGCAGCAACGCCGCGUGCGGGAUGACGGCCUUCGGGUUGUAAACCGCUUUCGCCUGUGACGAAGCGUGAGUGACGGUAAUGGGUAAAGAAGCACCGGCUAACUACGUG